Picea glauca (white spruce) is the source of this 45-nucleotide non-coding RNA. Lineage: Eukaryota; Viridiplantae; Streptophyta; Pinopsida; Pinales; Pinaceae. The record is from Rfam.
AAAACGGUGUCUUUAGACACCACCAAUCCUCUGUGAAGUUUAUUU